GUCGAACGAAGCACCUUACCGGAUUCUUCGGAUGAAAGUUUGGUGACUGAGUGGCGGACGGGUGAGUAACGCGUGGGUAACCUGCCCUGUACAGGGGGAUAACAGCUGGAAACGGCUGCUAAUACCGCAUAAGCGCACGAGGAGACAUCUCCUAGUGUGAAAAACUCCGGUGGUACAGGAUGGGCCCGCGUCUGAUUAGCUGGUUGGCAGGGUAACGGCCUACCAAGGCAACGAUCAGUAGCCGGUCUGAGAGGAUGAACGGCCACAUUGGAACUGAGACACGGUCCAAACUCCUACGGGAGGCAGCAGUGGGGAAUAUUGCACAAUGGGGGAAACCCUGAUGCAGCAACGCCGCGUGAGUGAAGAAGUAUUUCGGUAUGUAAAGCUCUAUCAGCAGGGAAGAUAAUGACGGUACCUGACUAAGAAGCUCCGGCUAAAUACGUGCCAGCAGCCGCGGUAAUACGUAUGGAGCAAGCGUUAUCCGGAUUUACUGGGUGUAAAGGGUGCGUAGGUGGCAGUGCAAGUCAGAUGUGAAAGGCCGGGGCUCAACCCCGGAGCUGCAUUUGAAACUGCAUAGCUGGAGUACAGGAGAGGCAGGCGGAAUUCCUAGUGUAGCGGUGAAAUGCGUAGAUAUUAGGAGGAACACCAGUGGCGAAGGCGGCCUGCUGGACUGU
RNAcentral lists this ribosomal RNA (674 nucleotides) under uncultured Lachnospiraceae bacterium. RNAcentral's name for it is "bacterial SSU rRNA". It matches the Rfam family "Bacterial small subunit ribosomal RNA", at positions 61 to 737 of the family's 1533-position model. Lineage: Bacteria; Bacillati; Bacillota; Clostridia; Lachnospirales; Lachnospiraceae. The record is from RNAcentral.